CUAGGUAGAGAGGAAGCAAUUUACACCCUUCAAAAAAACUUCAGGGGAUGUGAGCAGUGUAGAAAUGUCAUUCUGAGGCUCUGUAGAAUCUUUCCUCCUCUGGCAACGCCUUCCAUUGCUGCAGCAAUGGAGUCUAGCCCCAGGAAUGGUGUCAACAGCAACGCAAGAGCAAGAAGAUGAGUUUAGAGCUCUCCUAUUGAGAUGGGGUUACGUGAACCUCAUUCCACAUUGGGUAGUGGGGACAGCAAGAGUAAGUAAUUUUCUGAGGAAGAAGAGAGAGCAGGCCAGCUGGCAGCUCCUGAGGACCACAGAGAGCAGGAAAAGAGCCAUCUGGAGCAGAUAGGGAAAAGGGUUGUGAGGUGCUUGGAGAGAGACCGUGGGAAUGGACAGAGAGAAGUCUUCAGAGGGAGAAAUGCUGUCACCUACCACAGGUGCCUCUGCAUUGCUUGCAGGCCUCCACCGCCCCCAUCUUCCCUACAGACUAUCAAAGGAAUUAGGAUUUGGAAGGAUGGAUGCACAGAGCACCUAACGUUUAAGUAAGUGCAGGUUAGACGCCUCCAUGGGAGACAUCCCGUAGGAGGAUGAGAUCCCACCCAGAGUGCUAAUAAAAUGGUUCCUUUUACAGGAAAGCUCAUGCUGGCAAAUUGUCUUUGAAAACAAUACUGUUUGCUUAAACAAGAGCAUUCUGUAUUUUCUCCCAGAAAAGGCAGCGUGGCUGGCGAGGCACUGGGGUAGGACUCCAGACAUCUGAGCUCUGGUGCUGGUUUUGCCUCCAGGCUUGUGUAGGGGUAUGGGCAAGCUUCCCUCGAAAUACUGUGCCUCUCUUUCUCCCUCCAGCCUUGUCUGUUGGAAUAGGAUCAUAUAAAACCUACCACAAAUCUGGAACUUAGAGGAGGCCUUUAGUUGCUACUGAAGUACAAAUAAAAAUAAUACACAAUUCUUCCACUGAGUUUUUAAAGCAUACAGUCUGGGAACAAAACCAGCCACAUUUUACACUGAAAAAUCACAUAGAACAAGAGGAAAUGCAGAUGGUCUUACUAAACUGUCUUAUGAACUGUUGACUAGUUAAUUAAUCAAAGUUGCCUAGUGAUUUAUUGAUUAACAGAGAUUCUACGGUCAUGAACACAUCAAAUUUCACAAUGGAAGUUUUAGCAAUGGAAAAAAGCUGGUCUUUCAGUUCCUUCCUCAAUCAAGACAGAAAAUAAUAUGAGAAUUGAGGACAUUUCAUGGAUUAAACCAAUGCCAAGCAAUCUAAUUAUGCGAUAGUAUUGCUUAGGCAAUUUUGACUAUUUUUUUCCAUGCAGCUUUUUUCCUUAGUGAAGUGAUUUUUUUUUUAUAUUUUACCAGAGUCGGUAAAAUUCCCCAAAUAACAAGUCCUAUAAUGUAUUUACUAAUAUUGUGUAGUCUAAUAAAGGAUAAAUAUUGAAAGAAUUGCCUUUCCUGUAGGUGGGAAAUCACAGAAUUAAAAUAUAUUUAAAAUUCCCUUGGAGGACUGAGAGAGCAACUUUACCUGUCAGUUGUUGCCUUGACACCGUAUCCAUCACUGUGAUAAGGAGGACAUGAUAAGUUUUGUAUUAUUAACAACUAUCUGCCUAUCUCUAAAAUUUCUUAUGCACAGCUUUUCUGUAACUAGUUAAUUAAUCAGUGCAAAAGGCAAGUCAUAUACAGGUAUUAAAUUGUUAUUCAGAGGACUUUGAGGUCUAUGGCUAUGCUUGUAUGUCCUGGAAGAUUAAGUUUCUCUGUCAUAAGAGAAUCAGCAGGAGGCCUGUUGUGCAUGGUCAUAAAUCUCACCUUUGUACUUGGUAGAGUUCCACUGUGAAGAGGUCUCCUUCUCCAAUGUGUAGAUAUGUUAUGAGCCUAUCUAAGUACAACUGUAAAAGCUACCAUACUGGAUGAAACAUAAUGUUGCACUGUGUAAGACUAUCCCUCAGCAAAGGUCAAUAGAAGGUUCUUCAGAGGAAGGUAUGAAAACUCUGUCAUAAGAAUCCCCUCAUAUUAGAAAUGGAUAGAAAGUUCAAUAUCUGUUUUCUGACU
This is a non-coding RNA of Struthio camelus australis, 2034 nucleotides long. NCBI's taxonomy places the organism in Eukaryota, Metazoa, Chordata, Aves, Struthioniformes, Struthionidae. The record is from RefSeq and is a predicted model, not a curated record.